GACGAACGCUGGCGGCGUGCCUAAUACAUGCAAGUCGAGCGGACGGAUGGGAGCUUGCUCCCAGCCCGUCAGCGGCGGACGGGUGAGUAACACGUGGGCAACCUGCCUGUAAGACUGGGAUAACUCCGGGAAACCGGGGCUAAUACCGGAUAACUCUUUCCCUCACAUGAGGGAAAGCUGAAAGAUGGCAUCUCGCUAUCACUUACAGAUGGGCCCGCGGCGCAUUAGCUAGUUGGUGAGGUAACGGCUCACCAAGGCGACGAUGCGUAGCCGACCUGAGAGGGUGAUCGGCCAGACUGGGACUGAGACACGGCCCAGACUCCUACGGGAGGCAGCAGUAGGGAAUCUUCCGCAAUGGACGAAAGUCUGACGGAGCAACGCCGCGUGAGUGAUGAAGGUUUUCGGAUCGUAAAACUCUGUUGUCAGGGAAGAACAAGUACCGGAGUAACUGCCGGUACCUUGACGGUACCUGACCAGAAAGCCACGGCUAACUACGUG
Molecule: ribosomal RNA, 498 nt
Filed under: uncultured bacterium
Lineage: Bacteria
Description: partial 16S ribosomal RNA
Rfam family: Bacterial small subunit ribosomal RNA
Source: RNAcentral